CUAUUGCGAUGUGUGUGGAGAUCUCUGCUCCUCAGUGGCCACCCGAUCAUGCUGAUUGAAAGGGCUCAGAAUACAUUACAUAGUUUAUGGUGAUGUGUCGGACUGUCCAGUAGAUGGCACCAUUUCUCUAUUUUGAUUCUUGCACUUCUUGAGUAAACUUAUCUAUAUUGUGUUGUGUUGAAAAAGUCAUCAGAAUGGUCCAAUGUCCGCCAAUACCAAUACCACAUACAAGUUGUUACAUUUACAGGAUUGUCAAAUGUUGUGGACUUUGAUAACUUUUAUUUAAUAAAU
This is a long non-coding RNA of Hyla sarda, 291 nucleotides long. RefSeq lists it as uncharacterized. The record is from RefSeq and is a predicted model, not a curated record. Lineage: Eukaryota; Metazoa; Chordata; Amphibia; Anura; Hylidae. The transcript has 4 exons.